This 417-nucleotide ribosomal RNA is filed under the name uncultured Barnesiella sp. RNAcentral's name for it is "bacterial SSU rRNA". It matches the Rfam family "Bacterial small subunit ribosomal RNA", at positions 354 to 770 of the family's 1533-position model. Lineage: Bacteria; Pseudomonadati; Bacteroidota; Bacteroidia; Bacteroidales; Barnesiellaceae. The record is from RNAcentral.
UGAGGGAAUAUUGGGACAAUGGAUGGAAAUCUGAUCCAGCCAUGCCGCGUGCAGGAAGACGGUCCUAUGGAUUGUAAACUGCUUUAGCAUGGGAGCAAUAAGGUGUACGCGUACACCGAUGAGAGUACCAUGAGAAUAAGCACCGGCUAACUCCGUGCCAGCAGCCGCGGUAAUACGGAGGGUGCAAGCGUUAUCCGGAUUUAUUGGGUUUAAAGGAGCGCAGGCUGCGAGGCAAGUCAGCGGUCAAAUGUCGGGGCUCAACCCGGCCUGCCGUUGAAACUGUCCUGCUAGAGUUCGAGUGAGGUAUGCGGAAUGCGUUGUGUAGCGGUGAAAUGCAUAGAUAUGACGCAGAACUCCGAUUGCGAAGGCAGCAUACCAACUCGCGACUGACGCUGAGGCUCGAAAGCGUGGGGUAUC